Long non-coding RNA from Solanum verrucosum, 2206 nucleotides. RefSeq lists it as uncharacterized. The transcript is spliced from 3 exons. The record is from RefSeq and is a predicted model, not a curated record. NCBI's taxonomy places the organism in Eukaryota, Viridiplantae, Streptophyta, Magnoliopsida, Solanales, Solanaceae.
AAACAUCAAUGGCCAUGACAUGGAUUUCUUUUCCUAACCUAUUACCUACUUUCUUUGUCAAAGAGUGUCUUUUCUCCCUAGCAUCGGCAGUUGGAAAACCUAUCCAUCUUGAUCAACCAACUAUAAACAAGACAAGACCUAGUUGUGCACGCGUGAAGGUGCUGGUAGAUCUUAAAGGUGAUUUUCCUAAAGCUGUGCAAAUGAACAUAGAAAAUGUGCAGACAGGGAAAAUAAGGUCUAAUAUGGUUGCUAUUUAGUAUGAUUACGUUCCUAAAUACAGUGUUGAAUGCAAAAUGCAAAGGCAUAACAAAGAGAAUUGUAAAGUGGUCAAUUUUAGGAAUAAUGUAGAGCAAAAUGCGCAACAUACACAGGACAUAGCACAACUCAAACACGAGCCGCAAGCUGCUAAAAUUCAAAAACUGAAAAACGGAGGAGACAGUACACUUUCAAGUGGGAAAGUAGUGGGAGACCCUAGUAAUGGGAAUGUGGUAAGGGAUAGAAGGGGAAAAACAAAUACAGCCCCUCAGAUAACUACUGUAGUGGAGAACAAGUUUGAUGCUCUUGCUCAAGAGGAAAACACUCUGGAAGGCAUCAGUACAUCAAAGACUGAUAAUAUAGAAAUUAAUGUUAUUAGUAAUAAAGGGGAUCCGACUCAAGACAAAGGAAAAUAAGGAGUGAUAAUAUCAACCAAGGAGUGGAUCACAAAAGCAUUCAAAUCAGUCUUGCAAAGUGAUGCUCAACGGUCUUCUAUGCAUACAAUCAAUAACUUUGUAGAAAGUGAUGAUAAUGAGUCUGCACUGAAAAGCAAAGAGCAUGCAUUAGAGAAAAACAAUCAGCUAGAAGCAUCUCAAAGUAAUAAAGUAAGAAACAACGGGGAUAAGCAGAAGCCACAAAAUAUAGAUGAUGGGAGAAAGAACAUGGACAUGAAUAAAUGUCAUGAGAAGCAUAGAAAGCAACAGGGAGAAAAGAUGAAGGAAAUGCAAUCUGUAAACUUAGCUACGACAUCUACAGAUCUAAAUGUUAACAGUCCAGAGAAGCAUGAAGAGCUACACACUACUGAGGAUAAGCAUAUAUAAUGAAGACAUGUAUGCAGUAGUGAUAUCAAGGGAUUCAAUUUAUAAGGGUUACAAAAGUCCAGAGAAACAUGAUAUGGUGCAUAUGAUUAAUGAACAACAACAAGAAUUUUCUAAAAGUAUCAUUAGUGCAAAUACAAUUGUUCAGUGUCGUAGCAGCAAUAGUAUGGGUACGACAAGUGAAAAUCAGUGUACUAAGAGGGAUAAGAAUAUGGUAAUAUUGGUAGUUCCUACAAUAUUACAGUCUGAUGAAGACGAAGUAGUGAGGGUCCAUUCUGAAUCACCGAAUAAAGCUUUGCAUGACAUUCUCAUUCAUAAGGAUGUAUACGCAGAGCCAGAGGAUCUAGCAGAACUUAAGGGGGUCGAUUGUGCUACAGUUUCAGAAUCAAGUGGAGAGUAGAUUUAUAAUGAUGCAGAUAUUUCCCCAAGGGUAAUGAAGAUUGUUAAAUCAGCUAGAAAUGACAAUAAACAGGGUGAUGGUGAAUCAGCCCAACCUCUUCUAGUCCAACCAAAGAGACAGGUAAUAUCCUAAUAUUCCAAACAUCAGUGAAGACUCUAAUUUGGAAUAUUAGGACUAUGAGAAACAAUCUAGUCAAAAGGUGAACAAAGAUAAGAGUUUUUACUAUUUGCACUAGAACGUAGCUGCUGGGAGUUCACUCCAGGUGGAAUAAUGUACAUGAAUGAGUAAAGGCUCUUUUCCUAUUAAAUAUUUAGGUUGUCCAAUCACUUACUCAAGGAAAAGGAAAGAACAUUACACAGAGCUAUUUGAAAGAGUAAGAGGGAAACUUCAAGUAUGGAAAGGAAAGAUGCUCUCAUUUGGUGGUAAAGAAGUUCUUCUUACUAGUGUUCUUCAAAGUGUCCUUAUUUAUGAUCUUUGCUAAAUUUUUUUGGAGUAAUAAGGAAUCAGGUAGAAGUAAGCACUAGGCAGAAUGGGCUAAGGUUUGUUUGCCAAGAGAAGAAGGAGGACUAGGUUUCAGAUCUAUGUUUGAUGUUUCUCAGGAUAUGUAUGCUAAAUUGUGAUGGAGAUUUAGAACUCAAAAUUCUUUGUGGUCUAACUUCUUAUGGAAUAAAUAUUGUAAGAAACAAAUUCCUACUUUGGUACAAUAUAAAGGCGACUCUCAGGUUUGGAAACA